AUGGCCCGGAUUGCCCCGCUCCUGCUGGUGGCGCUGCUCUCCCUAGCCGUGCAGCUCCCGCCGUCCGCGGCUUGCCCAUCCUGCCCCAAACCAAAGCCUCCGCCGCCACCGCCGCGUAAGCUGACGCCUCCGCCGUCCGUGCCCUGCCCUCCGCCGCCACACUCUCCCAAGCCUACACCACCGCACACGCCUACCCCAAAGCCAACACCACCUCACACCCCAACCCCCAUGCCUACCCCGCCACACACGCCUACCCCCACGCCAACACCGCCUCACACGCCCAUGCCACCACACACUCCAACCCCGGCGCCAACACCGCCUCACACGCCCACGCCGCCGCACACCCCAACCCCCGCGCCAACACCGCCGCACACGCCAACCCCUAUGCCCACACCGCCGCACACGCCAACCCCUGUGCCCACACCGCCAUACACGCCAACGCCACCCUCCCCAAUCCCUCCUACACCAACCCCGGUAACCCCGCCAUCACCUGUUCCAUCCCCGACACCGUCACCGCCAUCAGGCAAGUGCCCAGUGGACACGCUGAAGCUACUGGGAUGUGUGGAUGCGCUCAACGGGUUGGUGCAUGCUGUGAUAGGUAGCAGUGCAAGCGACACUUGUUGCCCUCUACUGGCCGGCGUGUCCGGUGUUGACGCCGCACUCUGCCUCUGCACCACCAUCGAGCUCAAGGCGCUCAACAUCAACCUCGUGCUGCCGAUCGCCAUUCAGGUGCUUGUUAACCAGUGCGGCAAGACAGUGCCUAGCGAUUUCCAAUGCCCUAUGACGCCGCCAUCGCCUGUCACCCCACCACCGACCCCUGUUACUCCUUCGCCUACACCAAAAACGCCGCCAUCCCCUGUCACCCCACCACCGACCCCUGUUACUCCUUCUCCUACACCGAAAACGCCACCGUCGCCUGUCACCCCACCACCGACCCCUGUUACUCCUUCGCCUACACCGAAAACCCCGCCAUCUCCAUCACCGCCUGCAACACCGCCGACUCCUAUCACUCCUUCGCCUACACCACCAUCUCCUAUCACUCCACCACCGACUCCGGUUACUCCACCAUCACCGCCGAUGGGCAAAUGCCCAGUUGACACACUGAAGUUGCUAGGGUGUGUGGACGCACUCAAUGGACUGGUGCACACGGUGAUCGGCAGCAGUGCCAGCGACACAUGUUGCCCACUCUUGUCCGGUGUGGCCGGCCUCGACGCCGCGCUCUGCCUCUGCACCACCAUCGAGCUCAAGGCGCUCAACAUCAACCUCGUGCUGCCAAUUGCCAUCCAAGUGCUCGUGAACCAAUGCGGCAAGACAGUGCCCAGCGACUUCCAAUGCCCUGCGACUCCACCAUCGCCGACACCGGUGAUGCCGCCAUCCCCACCAGUAAUGCCGCCCACCCCUGUUACACCGGUUACUCCGCCAUCGCCGACACCAAUUACACCACCUAUUACACCGGUUACUCCGCCAUCGCCGACACCAAUUACACCACCAACGCCACCAUCCCCUGUGGCCCCGGCCCCAGUCCCAGCGACGCCACCGCCAUCGUCAUCAACGGGCAAGUGCCCCAUCGACACGCUGAAACUGUUGGGGUGCGUGGACGCACUCAACGGGCUGGUGCACGCACUAAUCGGCAGCAGUGCCAGCGACAAAUGUUGCCCGCUGUUAUCCGGUGUGGCUGACCUCGACGCAGCCCUAUGCCUCUGCACCACCAUCAAGCUCAAGGCGCUCAACAUCAACCUCGUGCUGCCCAUCGCCAUCGAGGUGCUCGUCAACCAAUGUGGCAAGACAGUGCCCGACGACUUCCAGUGCCCUAGUUAA
This 1818-nucleotide ribosomal RNA is filed under the name Triticum aestivum (bread wheat). RNAcentral describes it as "partial small subunit ribosomal RNA". Lineage: Eukaryota; Viridiplantae; Streptophyta; Magnoliopsida; Poales; Poaceae. The record is from RNAcentral.